UAAUACCGGAUAACACAUGAAACCGCAUGGUUUCAUGAUGAAAGACGGUUUUGCUGUCACUUAUAGAUGGACCCGCGGCGUAUUAGCUAGUUGGUAAGGUAACGGCUUACCAAGGCAACGAUACGUAGCGACCUGAGAGGGUGAUCGGCCACACUGGAACUGAGACACGGUCCAACUCCUACGGGAGGCAGCAGUAGGGAAUCUUCCGCAAUGGGCGAAAGCCUGACGGAGCAACGCCGCGUGAGUGAUGAAGGUCUUCGAUCGUAAAACUCUGUUAUUAGGGAAGAACAAGGAUGUAAGUAAUAUGCAUCCCUUGACGGUACCUAAUCAGAAAGCCACGGCUAACUACGUGCCAGCAGCCGCGGUAAUACGUAGGUGGCAAGCGUUAUCCGGAAUUAUUGGCGUAAAGCGCGCGUAGGCGGUUUUUUAAGUCUGAUGUGAAAGCCCACGGCUCACCGUGGAGGGUCAUUGGAAACUGGAAAACUUGAGUGCAGAAGAGGAAAGUGGAAUUCCAUGUGAGCGGUGAAAUGCGCAGAGAUAUGGAGGAACACCAGUGGCGAAGGCGACUUUCUGGUCUGCAACUGACGCUGAUGUGCGAAAGCGUGGGAUCAAACAGGAUUAGAUACCCUGGUAGUCCACGCCGUAAACGAUGAGUGCUAAGUGUUAGGGGUUUCCGCCCCUUAGUGCUGCAGCUAACGCAUUAAGCACUCCGCCUGGGGAGUACGGCCGCAAGGCUGAAACUCAAGGAAUUGACGGGGACCGCACAAGCGGUGGAGCAUGUGGUUUAAUUCGAAGCAACGCGAAGAACCUUACCAAAUCUUGACAUCCUUUGACAACUCUAGAGAUAGAGCUUCCCCUUCGGGGGACAAAGUGACAGGUGGUGCAUGGUUGUCGUCAGCUCGUGUCGUGAGAUGUUGGGUUAAGUCCCGCAACGAGCGCAACCCUUAGCUUAGUUGCCAGCAUUAAGUUGGGCACUCUA
Molecule: ribosomal RNA, 979 nt
Filed under: Staphylococcus simulans
Lineage: Bacteria; Bacillati; Bacillota; Bacilli; Caryophanales; Staphylococcaceae
Description: bacterial SSU rRNA
Rfam family: Bacterial small subunit ribosomal RNA
Source: RNAcentral